This 89-nucleotide unclassified non-coding RNA is filed under the name Pseudomonas gessardii. Lineage: Bacteria; Pseudomonadati; Pseudomonadota; Gammaproteobacteria; Pseudomonadales; Pseudomonadaceae. The record is from RNAcentral.
UGUGGGAGCGGGCUUGCUCGCGAUUGGGGUUUGACAGUCAGUACAUCUGUUACUGAUACACCGCCAUCGCGGGCAAGCCCGCUCCCACA